Molecule: ribosomal RNA, 279 nt
Filed under: uncultured bacterium
Lineage: Bacteria
Description: partial 16S ribosomal RNA
Rfam family: Bacterial small subunit ribosomal RNA
Source: RNAcentral
UGCCAGCCGCCGCGGUAAUACAGGGGGGGCAAGCGUUGUCCGGAAUUACUGGGCGUACAGCGCGCGCAGGCGGUCCACUACGUGCCGUGUGAAAGCCCCCGGCCUAACCGGGGAGGGUCGUCGGGGACGGGUGCGCUUGAGGGUAUCAGGGGCUGGUGGAAUUCCCGGUGUAGUGGUGAAAUGCGUAGAGAUCGGGAGGAACACCCGUGGCGAAGGCGGCCAGCUGGGAUACACCUGACGCUGAGGCACGAAGGCGUGGGGAGCGAACGGGAUUAGAUA